GAUGAACGCUAGCUACAGGCUUAACACAUGCAAGUCGAGGGGAAACGGCAUUAAGUGCUUGCACUUUUUGGACGUCGACCGGCGCACGGGUGAGUAACGCGUAUCCAACCUUCCCAUGACUAAGGGAUAACCUGCCGAAAGGCAGACUAAUACCUUAAGGUCUUCACUGACGGCAUCAGAUGUGAAGUAAAGAUUUAUCGGUUAUGGAUGUGGAUGCGUCUGAUUAGCUUGUUGGCGGGGUAACGGCCCACCAAGGCAACGAUCAGUAGGGGUUCUGAGAGGAAGGUCCCCCACAUUGGAACUGAGACACGGUCCAAACUCCUACGGGAGGCAGCAGUGAGGAAGAUUGGUCAAUGGGCGAGAGCCUGAACCAGCCAAGUAGCGUGCAGGAUGACGGCCCUAUGGGUUGUAAACUGCUUUUGUAUGGGGAUAAAGUCAAUCACGUGUGAUUGUUUGCAGGUACCAUACGAAUAAGGACCGGCUAAUUCCGUG
RNAcentral lists this ribosomal RNA (492 nucleotides) under uncultured bacterium. RNAcentral describes it as "partial 16S ribosomal RNA". It matches the Rfam family "Bacterial small subunit ribosomal RNA", at positions 28 to 507 of the family's 1533-position model. The record is from RNAcentral.